Molecule: small nuclear RNA, 23 nt
Filed under: Arabidopsis thaliana (thale cress)
Lineage: Eukaryota; Viridiplantae; Streptophyta; Magnoliopsida; Brassicales; Brassicaceae
Description: snRNA_06890
Source: RNAcentral
AGAUCUAAAAAUAGAUAUAUACA